GAGUGUGAAUAUCAAAUUGGCAAGGUUGCACAUUGAACUGGGCUUGAAACUGAGCUCUGCAGGUUUGAUUUACUAACACUCAUAUACCCUUUAAUUUUUCUUGUACACUACCGAUGUGAGACUUAUUCUCACAAGUCAUAUUUCAACACUCCCCCUCAAGUGCAAUUGGGUUCAGCUCAGGCUCAUAGGGGUUCACUAGCCUAGUUUCCACUUGCCAUUGCAUGUGGUGACCAAUCUAACUUGGGUUUGGCUCGUCUUGGCCUUUCCCUUGAGGUCUAGCUCGUCUUGACCAAUGUAUAUUUUUUUCUAUUUUUAUGGAAAAGCACAUUGAAAAUUAAUAGUUUGACUGAUCACAUGUAAGCAAAUAAUGAGGAAAUAAUGAGAAAAUGCUGAACAAAAGUGAAAAAUUCAAAGCUCAAGAAAUUACAACUGUUCCAAAAUUCUAGAAAGCAUAAGAAAUUUUUGAGGAUCAUCUACCCAAGCAAACGCCAAGAAAUAUUAAAGUAAAAGAUACUUACAAACGUGUAAUAAAGAAUUUUGUUUGCUUAACAGAUCCUUCUGUGAGAACAGAUCCUUUUGCCACAUCCAAUCCCAAAUCUUUCAAG
RNAcentral lists this unclassified non-coding RNA (605 nucleotides) under Hevea brasiliensis (rubber tree). The record is from RNAcentral. Lineage: Eukaryota; Viridiplantae; Streptophyta; Magnoliopsida; Malpighiales; Euphorbiaceae.